This 254-nucleotide ribosomal RNA is filed under the name uncultured bacterium. Its description in RNAcentral is "partial 16S ribosomal RNA". It matches the Rfam family "Bacterial small subunit ribosomal RNA", at positions 524 to 776 of the family's 1533-position model. The record is from RNAcentral.
UACGUAGGGGGCAAGCGUUGUCCGGAAUCAUUGGGCGUAAAGCGCGUGUAGGCGGCUGAGUAAGUCUGCUCUGAAAGCCCGGGGCUCAACCCCCGGGAGGCGGGUGGAUACUGCUCAGCUCGAGUCCGGAAGAGGAGUGUGGAAUUCCUGGUGUAGCGGUGAAAUGCGCAGAUAUCAGGAGGAACACCGAUGGCGAAGGCAGGUCUCUGGGCAUUAACUGACGCUGAGGAGCGAAAGCAUGGGGAGCGAACAGG